Felis catus (domestic cat) is the source of this 690-nucleotide long non-coding RNA. RefSeq lists it as uncharacterized. NCBI's taxonomy places the organism in Eukaryota, Metazoa, Chordata, Mammalia, Carnivora, Felidae. The transcript is spliced from 3 exons. The record is from RefSeq and is a predicted model, not a curated record.
UAGGCAGCCUCUGGCUACUUUGAACAUUAAAAUGAGGUAAAGUUCCCAGUCUACUUGUAAGACGAAUGCUAGUUUCUGCUCCUUUUCUCUGGGAAUACUUGCUCUAAAAAGUCAGCUUUCCACUGUGCUGUGAAAAGCCCAAGUUACAUUGGGAGGCUCUGGAUGAUGAGACACAAUAUCAUCUGCUGAGGCAGCAGGUAUGUGAGGGAAAAGUAGAUUCUCCAGCCACUGCUUCUCCAUAUGAUGCCACAUGGAUCAGAGAUGAACCCAGCCAAGCCCUUCCCACGUUCCAGACCUACCAAUUUGUGAGUGAAACCAAAUGGUUAUUUUAAGCCACGAAGUUGUGUGGAAAUUUGCUGUGAAGCAAUAGAUAACCAGAAAGCGCUUUAAGAAAUAACACACACUCAGCCCUAAACAGAAAAAGAACACAGCAAACUGGACAGUGGCAAGAGUCACCAGAAAGAAGACAACCAUUUCAAGAAACCAUGGAGAUCUAUUGUGGAAGGCCACUGCAUCACAGGAUGGAAGGAGUAUGGAUCCAUAUGUCACUAAUUAGAAGAGCAUGAUCCAGGGGCAUCUGGGUGGCGCAGUCGGUUAAGCAUCCGACUUCAGCCAGGUCACGAUCUCGCGGUCCAUGAGUUCGAGCCCCGCAUCAGGCUCUGGGCUGAUGGCUCAGAGCCUGGAGCCUGU